RNAcentral lists this ribosomal RNA (652 nucleotides) under uncultured bacterium. Its description in RNAcentral is "bacterial SSU rRNA". It matches the Rfam family "Bacterial small subunit ribosomal RNA", at positions 72 to 720 of the family's 1533-position model. The record is from RNAcentral.
AGAGAAGCUUGCUUCUCUUGAGAGCGGCGGACGGGUGAGUAAUGCCUAGGAAUCUGCCUGGUAGUGGGGGAUAACGUUCGGAAACGGACGCUAAUACCGCAUACGUCCUACGGGAGAAAGCAGGGGACCUUCGGGCCUUGCGCUAUCAGAUGAGCCUAGGUCGGAUUAGCUAGUUGGUGGGGUAAUGGCUCACCAAGGCGACGAUCCGUAACUGGUCUGAGAGGAUGAUCAGUCACACUGGAACUGAGACACGGUCCAGACUCCUACGGGAGGCAGCAGUGGGGAAUAUUGGACAAUGGGCGAAAGCCUGAUCCAGCCAUGCCGCGUGUGUGAAGAAGGUCUUCGGAUUGUAAAGCACUUUAAGUUGGGAGGAAGGGUUGUAGAUUAAUACUCUGCAAUUUUGACGUUACCGACAGAAUAAGCACCGGCUAACUCUGUGCCAGCAGCCGCGGUAAUACAGAGGGUGCAAGCGUUAAUCGGAAUUACUGGGCGUAAAGCGCGCGUAGGUGGUUUGUUAAGUUGGAUGUGAAAUCCCCGGGCUCAACCUGGGAACUGCAUUCAAAACUGACUGACUAGAGUAUGGUAGAGGGUGGUGGAAUUUCCUGUGUAGCGGUGAAAUGCGUAGAUAUAGGAAGGAACACCAGUGGCGAAG